RNAcentral lists this ribosomal RNA (253 nucleotides) under uncultured bacterium. RNAcentral's name for it is "partial 16S ribosomal RNA". It matches the Rfam family "Bacterial small subunit ribosomal RNA", at positions 524 to 776 of the family's 1533-position model. The record is from RNAcentral.
UACGUAGGGCGCAAGCGUUGUCCGGAAUUAUUGGGCGUAAAGAGCUCGUAGGCGGCUUGUCACGUCGAUUGUGAAAGCCCGAGGCUUAACCUCGGGUCUGCAGUCGAUACGGGCUAGCUAGAGUGUGGUAGGGGAGAUCGGAAUUCCUGGUGUAGCGGUGAAAUGCGCAGAUAUCGGGAGGAACACCAGUAGCGAAGGCGACACUCUGGGCCGGUACUGACGCUGAGGCGCGAAAGCUAGGGUAGCAAACGGG